CCCUACUGCUAUCGGGGUGGGACUAAGACAUGCAAGUCGUGCGUCUCUAAGCCAUGGUAGAGACGCGGCGUACGGCUCAGUAACACGUGGCUAACCUACCCUUAGGACAGGGACAACCCCGGGAAACUGGGGCUAAUAUCUGAUAGGUGAGGAGGCCUGGAAUGGUUCUUCGCCGAAAAGGCGUUGAAACCAUGCUUUUCAACGUCGCCUAAGGAUGGGGCCGCGCCCGAUCAGGUUGUUGGUGGGGUAACGGCUCACCAAGCCUAUAACCGGUACGGGCCGUGAGAGCGGGAGCCCGGAGAUGGGCACUGAGACGAGGGCCCAGGCCCUACGGGGCGCAGCAGUCGCGAAAACUCCGCAAUGCACGAAAGUGUGACGGGGCUACCCCGAGUGCCGUCCGCUGAGGAUGGCUUUUCCCCGGUGUAAUGAGCCGGGGGAAUAAGGAGAGGGCAAGUCUGGUGUCAGCCGCCGCGGUAAUACCAGCUCUCCGAGUGGUAGGGACGAUUAUUGGGCUUAAAGCGUCCGUAGCCGGCUUAGCAAGUCUUCCGUUAAAUUCAGCGACCUAAUCGUUGAGCCGCGGGAGAUACUACUAGGCUAGGAGGCGGGAGAGGCCGACGGUAUUCCCGGGGUAGGGGUGAAAUCCUAUAAUCCCGGGAGGACCACCAGUGGCGAAGGCUGUCGGCUAGAACGCGCUCGACGGUGAGGGACGAAAGCUGGGGGAGCGAACCGGAUUAGAUACCCGGGUAGUCCCAGCUGUAAACGAUGCGGGCUAGGUGUUGAGGUGGCUACGAGCCACUUCAGUGCCGCAGGGAAGCCAUUAAGCCCGCCGCCCGGGGAGUACGGCCGCAAGGCUGAAACUUAAAGGAAUUGGCGGGGGAGCACCACAAGGCGUGAAGCUUGCGGUUC
Molecule: ribosomal RNA, 906 nt
Filed under: uncultured archaeon
Lineage: Archaea
Description: bacterial SSU rRNA
Rfam family: Archaeal small subunit ribosomal RNA
Source: RNAcentral